RNAcentral lists this ribosomal RNA (253 nucleotides) under uncultured bacterium. RNAcentral describes it as "partial 16S ribosomal RNA". It matches the Rfam family "Bacterial small subunit ribosomal RNA", at positions 524 to 776 of the family's 1533-position model. The record is from RNAcentral.
UACGGAGGGUGCAAGCGUUAUCCGGAUUCACUGGGUUUAAAGGGUGCGUAGGCGGACAGGUAAGUCAGUGGUGAAAUCUCUGGGCUUAACCCAGAAACUGCCGUUGAUACUAUUUGUCUUGAAUAUCCUGGAGGUAGGCGGAAUAUGUCAUGUAGCGGUGAAAUGCUUAGAUAUGACAUAGAACACCGAUAGCGAAGGCAGCUUACUACAGGAUGAUUGACGCUGAGGCACGAAAGCGUGGGGAGCAAACAGA